GCCGGCGUAGCUCAACCGGCAGAGCACCCGCCUUGUAAGCGGGGGGUUGGGGGUUCGACUCCCUCCGCCGGCACCA
RNAcentral lists this transfer RNA (76 nucleotides) under Pseudomonadota bacterium. Its description in RNAcentral is "tRNA-Thr". It matches the Rfam family "tRNA". From Rfam's summary of the family: Transfer RNA (tRNA) molecules are approximately 80 nucleotides in length. Their secondary structure includes four short double-helical elements and three loops (D, anti-codon, and T loops). Lineage: Bacteria; Pseudomonadati; Pseudomonadota. RNAcentral also lists the same sequence under 2 other names. The record is from RNAcentral.